GGAUAUCCCAACCAUAGCAAGUGCUCUUCAAUAGCUGAAUAUGAGAAUGUGCCAGCAUCAACAUAGUCAAUCACCUCCACAGAAGGAUUAUAGUACUCCAUGUUAUUUCUUGGUCCAUAGAAAAGCCCACCAUGCUCAAGUUCCAGUGUAAAGAAAGGGGUGUCCACAAUCUGUCCCAUUGUUGAAUCACAAACUGCAGCAAGAAAGUGCAUUAUGUAAGCCAAAGCAUAUCACAUCUCAAACAACCUCUAAGUAGAUAACUGAAGAGUAAAAUAACUGCAACUCAACUUAAUAAAUUCAUAUGACUAAAUUGUGUAACCUGCAAGUUAACUCCAAGCAGCAAGUUCACUUAAUUUAUUCAGUUAAGUGCAUGUUGCAAGUUCACUGAGGAAAUUCAGUUAUGCAUUCUUUUUGCAAGAAACAGGGUAAGCACAAUCUUCAACCAAACUCAACCAGCCACAGUCAACAAUAAUAUCUUCAAGACUAAAUUCAGUUACCUGACCAAAUUCAGUUAACUGACUACAUUCAGUUAACUUACUACAUUCAGAUAACUGAUCUAGCAAGAUAAAACAACAAAAAGGCAUUCUAAUGAUGUAGUGGCACUACUAAACUAUUGAGCAACUACUAAACAGCAGCACUACAACUACAAAUUUCAUGUUUUUAAAAGUACAAACAUGUGCCCUACUGUUCAAUGUCAACCCUACAACCAAAAGAGAUUUCGCACCAAUGUGCUCUGCUGGUCAAUGUUAACUGGUCAAAAUAAUAUAUUGUGCCCGAAAGAACAUGAAACACAAGAACCCUAGCUUCUUGGCGAAAUCCUAAAUUUCACAGCCUAAACCCUAGUCUGAAAUCAACGACCACCUCAAUAACCAGCUUCGCAGCGCCGGAAGCUGUAUAGACACAGAAAUCCAUCGUAAAUACCCGCAACGCUAUCCAAAGGGGGUGAUCCGCCGAUGCUGCGGACGACACGACAGGACGAUCAAACCAAAGGAGGAGGGAGGAACAGAGCAGAGAGGGAAGGAGGACGCACCAUAGUCGGGAGGAAAGAUGCCGUGCGGGCGAACUUGAUGCGCGGUCGGAGGAGGGACGACACCGCCAGUGUAUUCCGGCGACGACGCCGCCAUGGUUGUUGACGUCAGCCAGCACCCGACGCAUGCGGUCGGCGCGAGCAAGACAGCAACCAAAGCCAAGUGGAUGAAUGAUUGGGGUGGGGAGGGGGACAAAAUAAAUUCAGGUGUUUUUUGCUUCGAGGGGGACAAGGAGUAGUGCGGGUUGAUUCGUGAUAAAGGCAGGGGGCUAACUGAAAAACUUGCGGCGCUGACUAGCCCAGGCUACCUGGCUCCACUUGGCGAGUUCUGAUUGGAUGUGGACUAAACUUGCACAUCCAUGACAAGUUUAGGAAUGAAAUAAUCAGCUUUUUCAACUUCAAGGGCCAAACCAUCACCUGACAUGCAAGUUCAGGGACCUGCAGUGCUACUACCUCUUCACUGCUACAUGCACCUCUGGUUCAGAACUUUAGAUGUGUCACAUGUGUGUGUGCCAAAUGUGGCGGCCAACAGAUGUGUUAACAACCAAAUCAAACUGCAGUUGCUAAUCUCCUUCAGAACCUCGAUCAAACUUCUGUUGCCGAGGAGGGGGAGCCUGCGCGCUCUCCUUUAGAACGUUGAUCAAACUUUUUUUGCUAAUCUUCUUUGAUUAGCAACCAUUUUCUGUAACUAUCAAUGAAAAGCCAGGCAACUGGGUCCUUAAAAAAACAGAUGUGUUAACGGGAGUGUGGCAUGUCUGCAAAGCCAUGUGACGAACGACCCGACCCCCGCGUCGCUCCUGGGCGGCUCGGGGGAACCCCAAUCGUCGGCCGGCGGCGCCCCCCUUCGCCACCCCUUCUCCCCCUCGCCGCUGCCGGAGGAUGUGGCCAGGCUAAGCCCGCACCGUGGACGGCGGCGGCGGGGCGUUCCCCGCGCGAUGGCGCGCAUCUCUGGUGGAGGGAGGUCGCUCCCUCGUCCUCCUCGGCGGCCCAGCAUUGCGGCGCUCCGGUGGCCAGGACCGCGGAUCUGGAGGGUGGCUCCUCCGGCGGUCCCCUGAUUCCGGUUGCUGCUCGCGGGAUGGCGCCUCCGGCUCCCUGUGGUCUGAGGCGGCGACUCUGCUUCGCUUCUCAGAUCCGGUCAUGGUUGGGUUGGGGUGGCGGCCCUCCCACCUCUGCUCGCAGGCGAUGCUGCUUACCUGCAGGUUUGCUGGCCGGGAGUUGUGCGCCUCUUGUGGCUGCCAUGCGGAGGAGGGUUGCUGGGUCUGGCAGGCGGCCAGAUCUGGCUCACCACCGGUGCUGCUGGCCGGCUUCGACGGCAGCAAGGUGUGGUGGCGGCAUGGAGGACCUGGUGGUUGGGUCGGCGCCAUGUGUGGUUUGCCCUACAGACAGAUCUGAUCUGGCCGGUGCGACCUCAAUGUGCGGCGGCUCAGAUCGGCAGUGAUCCGUGCAUACGAUGCUUGAUGGAGGUCACUUCAGUGGAUCUGGGUGAAAACCUAGUUCUCGGCUUUGCCAAGACCGGUGUUGGUGGCACUCUUUUGUGUCAUUACCUUCUUGAAGGCCUCGCCGUGGAGAAGCUCCAGACCUCUAUCUGCUACCUCCGGGGGAAACCCUAGAUCAAUAGAUCAGAUGACGGCGGCGCGUUGGUGUCGUUUCCUCCUUGGGGGCGUCAUUCUUGGAGGUGUACACGGGUUCGAGGGACCAAUGGGCGGCUUUUUUUGUGGAGCGGUGCUUCAUCCUGCAUAUUGAUGACGGCGGAUCUCGGCUGCAUGGUGCAGUGGAGACUCGACGCCUGAUGCGCCGUGCUGGACACGCGCAGCAGGGGUUGCUGUCUGGCGUCAUGGUGGUGUCGAUGACUGAGUGGCCUGACAAGGUAGUAGCCUCAAUAUCUGCUCUGAAGACGGACCAAUGAAAGAUGGCGGCGACGACACAUGUGAGUGCGUCAGACCAGUUCAUGCCCCAGACCCGGUAUGUGGCUCGGCUGGGGCUGCUGACUUUUGAUGAUAGACUUAGGUGAGUGACUGGGUAUUUGGCCCAGCUAGCGCCCCUUUAUCAUAUGGAUAGGAGGAGUAGUGGCAUAUGAUGCCAAGAUGGCGGAUUCAGACAUAUUGUUGUAAUACUUUGUAAGGUCCUCGAGAAUAAUCAAUAAAGUGGCCGCAUGCAUCUUCCAGAUGCAGAGGCCGGGGGUCAUCCUCCUUUUAAAAAAAAAUGUGACAAACGACCCAACAGCCACCAUGCACGGCCAGGUGUCGUUCAACGGGCUUGCAAAGAAGAGCGGCGAGGAGCAGCGGCAACGACUGACAUUGCAUCUCCACCCGACUUCAAAUCGACUAGUUGAUCAUGCGCACUUUGCUGCGCCUAGACUUGUUGCGAUGAUCCAUUAGUUAUGUCCUUCACCGUUUAGAUGUCGACUUUAGCAAUCAAAUGAACAAAUGUCAUCCCUCUAGUUAUGAGAACCAGUAGUAACGGGCACUCUUUAACAAUGGUUUGUUCUAUUUAAAACUGAAUGGAAUCCUCCAUCUCUUAAACUAACCUUAUAGACAUUACAGGGAGUGAAACCAAAAGGACAACAUGCCAUCAUAAAGAGGUACGGUGAAAUCAGUUUUUCCAAUGUCACUUAGCUGAACAAAAGGAACAUAAAGCAAACUGCAAACUAUAGCAUAACAUCGUCUUAGUACCUCUGGCCUUGUAUCCUCAGGUUACCAUCCAUUCAUUUGGUGGAGAUUUGGAGAUCAGCCUUUGGCCGCAUCACACCUCUGCUGCUCACAAUGGGGCGACAUCAGCAUCAAUUAUAUGAUUUUGGAAAUAGUUCAACAUGGUGGUCAGAAGCAUCAUGUACAGAGCCAAAACUGAAUUAGCCAAAAAGGAAACCACACUGCAGCUUUAAAUCAUCUUUUUUUAGACAGAAGGCAAUCAUCAUCCAUUUCACGUAUAAUUUAGCUAAAAAUAUACUCCCUCCGUUCCUAAAUAUUUGUCUUUCAAGAGAUUUCAACAAGUGACUACAUACAGAGCAAAAUGAGUGAAUCUACACUCUAAAAUAUGUCUAUACAUCCGUAUGUGGUAGUCCAUUUGAAAUCUCUAAAAAGACAAAUAUUUAGGAAUAGAGGGAGUAUAUAAUAGAUAACCAUAACCAAUGAUUUAAGUUUGUAACAUCAAGUCUAACCUGAAGUGUUAUCACAUUCAUGAGCGUGCUAUAACCUUUAUAGAAUCGCUUCUUUAAUGACUCAAGGAUUGGAUGAGAAAAAAAUACAGAAAUAGCUAGCCAUUGACUGUGGAGACGGCUCUGUAAUGCAUAGUUUGUGCUUUAAGUGGUGAUACAGGAUAUGUUUUACAUUACCAAAUGGCAAUGAAACCACUCCAAACAAAUAGAUGAUUGAUUAAAAGUAACCUAUGCUGGAGAUAUAUUACACUACCAUUAAGGUGUCCUACAAUAGAAGACAACAUGUGGUGCUCAAUACGACACUGGACCGAUGGUAGCCUGAGUGGCUUACUUUCUUCAGCAUCAUUUCUAACUCAUAAAUUCAACAUUAUCUUGACUGAUGGCAUAUACACUAAAUGAUGUUAAAUCAGCGAGAACCAUCGUGAAUUCCUUAUGUCCGCAUGGAACCCCCAUAUGCUUGUAUUACAUAAACUGCAGACUGAUAUACCUGGAAAUGAAAUUAGUAAUGGUUGAGCAAGUAGGAUAAUAACAAAUUUGCUUACCCCUGUAUUCAUAGUUUCAUACCAAACGAAACAGACUUAAGAUGUCAGUUGUAUUUUUACCACCGAUGCCACCAAGCUCUUGUCGAUAACCAUCUCCUGUAUAUUCAAUCUUCUUAAGCGGCCGAGCUACAACACUUGUACAAAUUUUAUGAAUAAAGUCACCACCAAACUAUAUAAAGAAAAGACACCCUGAUUUUACUUAUUAAAAUUUUGUGGUAAUUUAUUAAAACAUUCAACCACUCAGGAGUAACAAACUAUCGAUCUAGAGGGGAAUGUUUUAACUAUUUAACUACUCAAAAAAAAAUGUGAACAUUUGUGUGCAUACUGAAUUGUAGUGUACGCUAGCUUGGUUGAUUCAUAUCAGGGAAGCUCCAAAUCAAUCACAAGCCUCUGAGUAGGUAGAAGAAGGACGCAAGGGAUGCAAACCCGCCAGCCGACACAGCUACAGCCUCCCUCCGAAGAAAUCGAUGCAGAGGAAGAAGGAAUCGGCAGCAGAUGGUUCGACCCUGACGAAGAAGCAGCCAAGCAGGCACCAAACACGCAGCCGAAGAGAUCCGCACCUCCCGCCCACUAAAGAGAUCGACGACACCAUGCCUUCUCAGAGCAGGAACCAGCGCGCCACUUGCUUUCUCUGAAAGGGAACCAGCAUCGGUACUCGCCUCACCCAAAUCAGAAGAGGAAAAGAAACCAUCGCCACCCCAACAGUUAAAGAAAAUGAAGAACGCCACAUGCAGAAGAUUCACCCCUGGCAGCGACACCACAUGGCACACGUCGGAGCCGCCGCCGGAGAGCCAGACGAAGAAGCUCACAAAGACGAAGCUGAUAUGUGUCACCAGAGCCUCAACAUCGGCCUCACAUGCAUCGGCCUCCACGGGAUCCUGCACUGGUGGCGAGGUAUUGGUCGUUCUCGCCUCCUUGAGUUGUCACCACCGCUCGCCUCCUUAGCGGCUGUCUGCUGGUGCGCCAGAUGCCCGAGUCCCAGGGAAGCCGAGGGCGAACGCCCGAGGCCCUCCCCCGGCGGAACAAUACUGAUGAAUGCGAUAAGGGUGAGCCGCUAGACACCUCUCGUCCGCCCCAGCUAUACCUCGAACCGACGAAAAACAUCAAACCGACUAAGAUACGUGUCUGCAGUCCACACACAGCCAAU
RNAcentral lists this long non-coding RNA (5870 nucleotides) under Triticum aestivum (bread wheat). RNAcentral's name for it is "long non-coding RNA (TAES_LNC011823)". The record is from RNAcentral. Lineage: Eukaryota; Viridiplantae; Streptophyta; Magnoliopsida; Poales; Poaceae.